UAAGACGUAGGAUGCAAGCGUUGUCCGGAUUUAUUGGGCGUAAAGAGUUCGUAGGCGGUUACUUAAGUCUGGUGUUAAAGACGGGAGCUCAACUCCCGCAUGGCAUUGGAAACUGGGUGACUAGAGUGUGGUAGAGGUAUCGGGAAUUCCAGGUGUAGCGGUGAAAUGCGUAGAUAUCUGGAGGAACACCAGUGGCGAAAGCGCGAUACUGGGCCACAACUGACGCUGAGGAACGAAAGCCAGGGUAGCAAAAGGGAUUAGAUACCCCUGUAGUCCUGGCCGUAAACGAUGGAUACUAGGUGUUGGAGGAUUCGACCCCCUCAGUGCCGUAGCUAACGCGAUAAGUAUCCCGCCUGGGGAGUACGACCGCAAGGUUG
Molecule: ribosomal RNA, 377 nt
Filed under: uncultured bacterium
Lineage: Bacteria
Description: bacterial SSU rRNA
Rfam family: Bacterial small subunit ribosomal RNA
Source: RNAcentral